RNAcentral lists this ribosomal RNA (492 nucleotides) under bacterium CV10. RNAcentral describes it as "bacterial SSU rRNA". It matches the Rfam family "Bacterial small subunit ribosomal RNA", at positions 20 to 506 of the family's 1533-position model. The record is from RNAcentral.
UGGCUCAGAUUGAACGCUGGCGGCAUGCCUUACACAUGCAAGUCGAACGGCAGCAUAGGAGCUUGCUCCUGAUGGCGAGUGGCGAACGGGUGAGUAAUAUAUCGGAACGUGCCCUAGAGUGGGGGAUAACUAGUCGAAAGAUUAGCUAAUACCGCAUACGAUCUACGGAUGAAAGUGGGGGAUCGCAAGACCUCAUGCUCCUGGAGCGGCCGAUAUCUGAUUAGCUAGUUGGUGGGGUAAAAGCUCACCAAGGCGACGAUCAGUAGCUGGUCUGAGAGGACGACCAGCCACACUGGGACUGAGACACGGCCCAGACUCCUACGGGAGGCAGCAGUGGGGAAUUUUGGACAAUGGGGGCAACCCUGAUCCAGCAAUGCCGCGUGAGUGAAGAAGGCCUUCGGGUUGUAAAGCUCUUUUGUCAGGGAAGAAACGGUUUUGGCUAAUAUCCAGAACUAAUGACGGUACCUAAGAAUAAGCACCGGCUAACUACGU